This 460-nucleotide ribosomal RNA is filed under the name uncultured bacterium. RNAcentral describes it as "partial 16S ribosomal RNA". It matches the Rfam family "Bacterial small subunit ribosomal RNA", at positions 338 to 795 of the family's 1533-position model. The record is from RNAcentral.
CCUACGGGAGGCAGCAGUGAGGAAUAUUGGUCAAUGGGCGCGAGUCUGAACCAGCCAUGCCGCGUGAAGGACGACUGCCCUAUGGGUUGUAAACUUCUUUUAUAAGGGAAUAAAGUGAGGCACGUGUGCCUUUCUGUAAGUACUUUAUGAAUAAGGAUCGGCUAACUCCGUGCCAGCAGCCGCGGUAAUACGGAGGAUCCAAGCGUUAUCCGGAUUUAUUGGGUUUAAAGGGUGCGUAGAUGGGUUGUUAAGUUAGAUGUGAAAGUUCGCGGCUCAACCGUGAAAUUGCAAUUGAUACUGGCCGGCUGGAGAGUAGAUGCGGUAGGCGGAAUGUGUGGUGUAGCGGUGAAAUGCUUAGAGAUCACGAAGAACACCGAUUGCGAAGGCAGCUUACUAAGCUGCCACUGACGUUGAUGCACGAAAGUGUGGGUAUCAAACAGGAUUAGAUACCCUAGUAGUC